Molecule: long non-coding RNA, 390 nt
Filed under: Mytilus galloprovincialis (Mediterranean mussel)
Lineage: Eukaryota; Metazoa; Mollusca; Bivalvia; Mytilida; Mytilidae
Source: RNAcentral
CCUAAGUUGAACAAAGGUAUAUACAGAAAAACAUAUUAAUUAACAUUACAUUGCAUUGUACAUUUGUCGAGGAAGCAUUAAAUAUGAGUGACUGGCUUCUCGAUCCUUACUCGAAUGUUUUUAACAUGUCAAAAAUUAUCGGGUAGAAUUUCAGAUUGAUGACGACCAAGAUAGACAACCCCGAGCAUUCUUGUCGAUUGAGUCAGACCAGUCUCCCGAUUACUUAAUUUGUCAUGAUCGGGAUUGAUCGAGUUGAUCUGAUCGGUAGUGUGAACCUAGCUUUAGUUACCCGCACAAGAUCAGCCAGAUUCACACAGCCGAUUAGAUCAACUCUAUGAACCCGAUUGCUCAAAUUCCCACGAUCAAGCGGGACCACAUUCUUAAUCAGGC